UCAUGGUUUAACUAGUUAUUCAAGCAAAAAGCACUAAAGUUUGCCACCCCGAAACUAAGCGAGCUACUUCAAGGCAGUUUCAAGAACUAACCCGUCUCUGUUGCAAAAGAGUGGGAAGACCUUCAAGUAGAGGUGACAGACCUAACGAGCUUAGUGAUAGCUGGUUACUUAAGAAAAGGAUCUUAGUCCCCCCUAAAUUUUUUAUAAUAUUUACAAAUAGAAACUAAAAUUUAGAGUAAUUCAAAUAAGGUACAGCCUAUUUGAAUCAGGAUACAACCUUCACAAACGGGUAACUAAACUUUUAUGUAGCUAAGUAGGCCUAAAAGCAGCCACCUUCAAAAAGCGUCAAAGCUUAUCUACAAAUUUUCUUAAUCCCCCUAAUCUUUAAAAACCCUUAAUCUUUAUUAAGUAACUCUAUAAAAUUAUAGAACCUAUUAUGUUAAAACUAGUAACAAGAACUAGAACUUCUCUUUAAUGUAAGUGUAAAUCAGAUUGGACAAACCACUGAUUUUUAACAUUUGGAACCAAAGUAACAACUUAUCAAGAAAACCUUACCUCACACAAUGUUAACCUGACACAAGAACAUUUUAAGACAGAUUUAAAGGAAAAGAAGGAACUCGGCAAACAUUAACCUCGCCUGUUUACCAAAAACAUCGCCUCUUGAAAACCAUAUAAGAGGCCCAGCCUGCCCAGUGACUCUGUUCAACGGCCGCGGUAUCCUAACCGUGCGAAGGUAGCGUAAUCACUUGUUCUUUAAAUGAGGACUAGUAUGAAUGGCAUUACGAGGGUUAUACUGUCUCCUCUCCCUAAUCAGUGAAACUAAUCUCCUCGUGAAGAAGCGAGGAUAAACCUAUAAGACGAGAAGACCCUAUGGAGCUUUAAACUCUCAGCAAUUAUUUUUUCUACACCAACCUUAAGGUUAUUACACUAACUUUAAUAAUAUGCCUGUCAGUUUUCGGUUGGGGUGACCGCGGAGUAAAACCCACCCUCCGCAAUGAAUAUUAACAAGCAAAAAACUACAAUUUUAUGCAUCAAAAAAUUGACAGUAUUGACCCAACACUUUGAUCAACGAACCAAGUUACCCUAGGGAUAACAGCGCAAUCCAUCUCAAGAGCUCAUAUCGACAGAUGGGUUUACGACCUCGAUGUUGGAUCAGGGUAUCCCAGUGGUGCAGCCGCUACUAAAGGUUCGUUUGUUCAACGAUUAAAACCCU
RNAcentral lists this ribosomal RNA (1213 nucleotides) under Pithecopus nordestinus. RNAcentral's name for it is "partial large subunit ribosomal RNA". It matches the Rfam family "Bacterial large subunit ribosomal RNA", at positions 613 to 2597 of the family's 2925-position model. The record is from RNAcentral. Lineage: Eukaryota; Metazoa; Chordata; Amphibia; Anura; Hylidae.